UACGGAGGAUGCAAGCGUUAUCCGGAAUGAUUGGGCGUAAAGCGUCCGCAGGUGGCAAUGUAAGUCUGCUGUUAAAGAGUCUGGCUCAACUAGAUAAAAGCAGUGGAAACUACAUAGCUAGAGUACGUUCGGGGCAGAGGGAAUUCCUGGUGUAGCGGUGAAAUGCGUAGAGAUCAGGAAGAACACCAGUGGCGAAGGCGCUCUGCUAGGCCGUAACUGACACUGAGGGACGAAAGCUAGGGGAGCGAAUGGG
RNAcentral lists this ribosomal RNA (253 nucleotides) under uncultured bacterium. RNAcentral describes it as "partial 16S ribosomal RNA". It matches the Rfam family "Bacterial small subunit ribosomal RNA", at positions 524 to 776 of the family's 1533-position model. The record is from RNAcentral.